UAUUAAAACACAGAAGUUUAACACCAACACAAACAUAAGAAUAGUUCAAAAUGGAGCAUCAGUUCAUACAGUGGAAGCAAAAUCCCGAAUCCAGUGUGCCAUGUUGUGCACAAGUGAUAGUACUUGCUGCUCAAGUACCUAUGACCAAAUCUUAGAACACUGUUCCUUAUUUUUGGCUUGCUGCCCUAUGAAGGAACCCUCUACAGGAUCACAUACAAGUACAAAGACUCCAAAACUAGCUAUGGUCUUUUCUCCUACACCAACCGACUGUAGCGAAUUUCCUCCUGGAACAUGUACUGGGGUACAUACUAUCCAGCCAGAAAACGGUCCAACCAUAACUGUGUUUUGUGACAUGGACACUGAUGGUAGAGGGUGGACGACAAUUCAAAGACGAUUUGAUGGAAAUGUUGAUUUCUAUAGAGAUUGGGAGGAUUACAAAACUGGAUUUGGGGAUAUAGCAGGAGAACAUUGGCUUGGAAAUGACAAUCUUCAUUAUAUUCUUCGAC
Molecule: long non-coding RNA, 506 nt
Organism: Mytilus californianus (California mussel)
Lineage: Eukaryota; Metazoa; Mollusca; Bivalvia; Mytilida; Mytilidae
Exons: 4
Source: RefSeq, a predicted model, not a curated record